This 253-nucleotide ribosomal RNA is filed under the name uncultured bacterium. Its description in RNAcentral is "partial 16S ribosomal RNA". It matches the Rfam family "Bacterial small subunit ribosomal RNA", at positions 524 to 776 of the family's 1533-position model. The record is from RNAcentral.
UACGAGUGCCCCGAGCGUUAUCCGGAAUCAUUGGGCGUAAAGGGUGUGUAGGUGGUUUUGUUAGUCUACUGCUAAAGCCCGCGGCUUAACCGCGGAUCGGCGGUGGAAACGGCAAGACUAGAGGAUGGCAGGGAUGUAUGGAACUCAUGGAGUAGGGGUGAAAUCCGUUGAUAUCAUGGGGAACACCAAAAGCGAAGGCAGUACAUUGGGCCACUCCUGACACUGAAACACGAAAGCGUGGGUAGCGAAUGGG